This is a long non-coding RNA of Gallus gallus (chicken), 5779 nucleotides long. RefSeq lists it as uncharacterized. The record is from RefSeq and is a predicted model, not a curated record. The transcript has 3 exons. NCBI's taxonomy places the organism in Eukaryota, Metazoa, Chordata, Aves, Galliformes, Phasianidae.
CCACAGCCUCCUUGGGCAACCUGUUCAGUGCAUCACCACCCUCUGGGUGAAAAACUUCCUCCUAAUAUCCAACCUAAACCUCCCCUGUCUCAGUUUAAAACCAUUCCCCCUUGUCCUGUCACAAUCCACCCUUCUAAACAGUCAUAAUAUGCUACUUCAGGUAUGGUUUAAUCACUUCUCAAUACGCAUGCACCAUAGCAACUGUGUAAAUGAAAAUGGAUCAAUGAAAGAGCUCCCUCAAGUGGCAGGAAAUACUGUUACCCGUUACACUUUGUAGAGAGUUGGUGUUUUUUUCAUCCUUUUUUUAACAAAUGCCACAAUGGCAGCGAAGUUAGGCCUGUAUCAUAUCAUACCGUGUCACUGAAGUGUAGCAAUGCACGAUCUAGUUUUGCACAGCAGGAAAAAUGGUGCUGCUGUAAGGCCGAGGUCAAACCUCAGUCAGGCAAAGCAGCAGUUAAGAAAAGACCGAAUCACCCAUCAUUUAAGAAACUGUAGAGGGCUUCAGCCUGACCUGAUAAUGCGUGACUGCAUUUUGGCAAGAAAACCUAAAUCUGGCUCCAGCACACAUCACAUAGCCGAGGGUGCCCGAAGUGUUCAUAAAUCAUACAGGCUGCUUCUGCAACCUCCAGCCCGAGCUUUCACAGCUGCUGCUAUCAUCACGUCCAGAUUUUGUGCGCAGUUACCCUUGCUCCUAUUUACUCCGAGAGCGUUCAAAACAUUUGCUACGAGAGGUUCAGCUCAGCAAACUGCUGUAAAGAGACAGGGGCAACAGGAAUGAAACGUGGGCCUCGGUGGGCAAUGCCUCGUGCGCUUACAAGCAGUGCAGCUGCCACUUUUGCUGGCAUUUGGAGCAGUCGGAGAAGCAAGUGCAGUUCUCUCAGCAGAGGGCAGUGGUCUCCUUACUCAGACCUCACUGUGCUACCGAGCUGAAAUCACCCUUCCUAACAGAAGUGAAGCCCUGCUGCCUGUCAGCAGGUUGCCGGAUUGCUCUGCAAGCUCAGAAAUUCAAAUGCUGACCUUCUCGCCGUGCCACAUUUGCAUUAUUUUCCAAGAGGCAAAUAAUCUCUCCUUUCCCCAUCAUUUUGAGUGAGCCUUGUCAGUUUAGCAGGGUUGGUUUGCUGUUUCAGUUGAGGAUGUUGUUUCCUUGGCAUGUUUAAAAAGAAGCUCCUAAGCAGCGAAUCGUGAAAGGCAUUGAAUCUGUGUGGGUGUAACUACAGUUUAACCCUGCUAAGCUGAACUGUGCUUUCUGCCAAUGCUUUUCUCCUUCUGCAGCAUCCCAGCUUUAUUUUGUAAUCUUUUAGCUUGUCUUCAAAAAGAACAUUGUGAGGCCGUGGGAAAGGUAUUAGGCUGCAAAAGGUGAGGGGAAACGAAAUGAGGACAAAUCAGGCAGGUUUUCUCUUUGAGGAAAUACGUCAUCUUUGAGGUCAUCAAGAAGAGAUCUUGGAGAGAAAUGUCACUUAGGUAGUCAGGCUGCUACCCGAACUCCACGGUGAACACCACGGAGAAGCCUAGGAGCUUUGAGAUGCAACUGGGAUCGUAAUGCUGAAAGUGGUUUCUCUUCCUCAUACUGAAAGCCCUCCAAAAACAAGAGGAUGUGGGGAAAAGUAAUACCCACCAAAACCACGACCUAGUUUUCAGUGGGGAGCAAAUAUCUCCAUAAAGCCAUGGAAGACCGAGUCUCCACUGUAAACUAAGAAAGAAAUUAUGUUUUCAGCACGAGGCAUUGCCUCGUUUCCACUUUGUUUUCAUCUCUGCAGAGAUAGGUGACAUCUACUGAAAGUAGUCCCAAGCAGAAGACGUUUCUAAAUCCGUCCAACCAGCAAUUUGGCUGUUUCCAUGGCAGUGAUGCAGCCCGGCCUGCUGCUCUCCCUUCUGCAAGAGCCCUUCCCAAGCCUGACAGAGAACACCGUGCAUUUGUAGCUGCCCUGCCAAAACCUUCCCUCUUCUUUACUCAUGGCUGUACCCAUCUGGUCCUUUUUGCUUCUCCUUCACUUUGGAAAUACCUGGCCAGAGAGGAGCUCUGUGAGUUUGUUCUCUUCUCUGCUGAAGCCUGCCUGAUUCAGGCAAAGGGGGGAGCGCUGCUGGGUUUGAGGGAUUGGAGACGGCAGUGCUUUCCAAGUUUCCGAGCUGCCUUGGAAAGAAGUUUUGGGUGACGGUAAGGGAGAACAGUGUAGGAGCCAGGAGCAGAAACAAAGCAGAAAGAAAGAAAAUCCAGAUUUCUGUCUGGUCUCUCAAAAGAAUUAGGCUGAAACUUGGCAUCUCUGGCCAUAGCAACAAGUAGAGAGGUAAAGAAUGUACAGACUUGGUACAAUGCAGUGCCUUUUGAAGGAGAUGACAAGCGUGAAGGAGCACUUCCAAAGCCCUGAAUUCAGAUAGAUCUGUGUCGCAGCUGAGCCUCUGGCAGCUCUCAACACUAUUUCACUGCAAGUGAAAAAAUAGAAUAGAGUUACAAAGCGGGGAGAAUCGCUUUUCCUAUCAGCCGAGGACCAGCAAAAACGGAAGGUUGCAAUGGAACUGUGCUGGGAGGUGAAGCAAUAUGCAGGGUUUGCUGCAUUUGAUUGGCAUUGGGCUGAGUUGAUGUGGUUACAAAACCAUCUUUGUGCUCAGCAAUAUUCUGUUGCUGGCCUAGUGCCUUGAGGCUUACAUGCUUUGGAAAUAUGGAUGAGGAGAUGAAAACUUGAGCUUGUUUAAAGGUUUUAAAUCUGAAGAUGGCAGACCCAGGAGAGGGAUUCUGAGUUCAGGCAUGUAGGUCAUGCAAGAAAAGUCUUGUCUUCGCUAGCAAGUUACUAUGAAGUGCAGUAAAAAUGUUCCUGCUGCUUCAGCCCUUGCUCAGACGCAAAGAAAAUUCUCCUUGCCUGAAGCGUCAGGAGAAACAAGAGUUGACAAACAAACCAGAGGACAGGGUAAGCUCGAGUGGGGUAACUUCAUCCUCUACCACUGCCACAUCCCUACACGAUGGACCCAAGUUAGCACCAGUAGGACAGCAGCAGUGCUUACUUCCCAUGGUUUGUCCUCUUGUGCUUUCCUCACCGUCUGCUGGCUCCUUGCUUUUCAUUGAUGAGCUUAUUUACUCAGUUGCAAAAGGCUUCCAGCAGCAACGCUAACAAUCACCCAUCUUCACUGCAAAUGUCUUUGUUUUGUUAUUCUGAAAAUGUGCCUCCAAAGACUGCAUUUCUCUGUUGCCUGAUGAUCGGGCACCAAGUCAUGGGAGGAUCACUGGUGUGAUGCUACUGUAGUCUAUGAUUUGAGGAGGAGAGAUCCAGGCUGAAAGCUUUCUGGUGGCAUUCCAAACGAGCUGUCAUGAGAAGAGAAUCCAACGCGCAAAGACCUCAGUGCUGAGGGAAAAUCAGAGGGUUUCAUGUACUCAGAGGAAAAGUGUGGAACUAUAAAUGCUAACUCGGUAACUCCCCAGGAAUGAGCAUGUGCCAUGCUGAGACUGAAUGCAUCAUUAGCAAAUCCCUGAGGCAGAUCUCUAUUUCAGACUGCACAGUAUAACAGCUCCAGGGAACGUACAGAGACACCGAGGAUGCUGAUAAUUUCACAGUUUCUGCUUCCCUGUGAGGCAGAAAAUAGAAAAGCUAUGAAGCUCUUUCCCAGGAACACAAAAGUAAUGUUUUCCAGGGCGAUCAAAAGCUGGAGAAGAUAGGUUUGUUGUCUGUAAACUGAGAGAAAAGGGAACACUAUCGUCUGCUGCCAUCGCUGCAAGAGACAUCACUCAGCUGAUCAAGCAAGCUGAAGCAAUACAGCUGGCCCCUUGCAGAGGAGACGCUGAGGGAUGCAAAGCUGGCUUGGGCGAACGGAGAUCUCAGGGUCACGUACAGCCCACAGGGGAUUCACUCUGUGUCAGUGUCUCCUGCAGCAGCACAGGCUAUCGAUGCACGUCACACGUCUGCCCUUCAUCGCCAGCAACCCCUGGGAAAGACUUUGAGACAAGAUGAGAUGGAGGAGCAGAGGUUCCAGACAUAUUCAGUGAGUUCCGUGAAGAAUUCAGCCAGGCUAAAGGACAGUGUAUUAAUGCUCUGAAUGGGGGAGACCUGCAGGUGAUCUCAGCUUCUAACAGAAUAAGAAGGUUACAAAUCCAAACUGCCCAGCUGACUCAAGCUAGGAGCCUCCAAUUUAUCCACGGGCUUCUUCUGGCACAGAACCCACACGUCGUGCAAAGGACAGCUGUGAGUUCAUGGCGUUGUGCAGAGCUCUGCUCAUCCACCACUGACUUGAUCUUGUGAUUUUUGGAGCACGCUGUGGACGUGCAGCAAUGCAUUCUUAGUACUGAGAAGAAACUUCAAGAAAUGGAUAUCUGGCAAGUACUUAAAGUCAGUUCUGAAGUGAUGCUAGAAAUACCACAUUUCUGGUCAGGCCUAUUACUGCAACAUCAAUGAUGCCUUUGUUCCUCGGUGCUUUUAUCCCUUACCCAAACAGCUCAUGAGAUGGCAGAUUGACUGGGAGCCCAAAAUUGCCAGGAGGGCAGUAGCUGUAAGGAUACCAAAUGUUGCCAGCCCUCUUCAAAAGAAAUUACCUUCUGACAAAUAACCUAUUCCUGACACGGCGUGAGCCUGAUAGCAUCACAGUUGACAAUAGAAGGUAGCACUGGUACAGAUUUAAACAUCUCCUCUUAAAAGCAGUUUGUAAUCUUGGCAUAGUUAAUAACUGCAGCACUCCGUGAAGUAAAUACUCAUUAGCCCCUGUUCUAACAACGUGGAGUGGUGUGGCUCUGUGUCAUCAGUGACUCAGCCACACAGGGUCAGUUUCAGUUUGGGGAGCUUCUUCUUUACAGCCCCAUUGCUCUUUUAGGAAAUCCGGAAUGGUGGGCCCCAACCAGGCCUUGGCACCCCCUGUUACAUGGGGCCAGAGGAAAUGAUGCCAUUUCAAAUACAUUCCUGAGGGCACCAAGUGGGGUACAGUCUGAGGACACAGGUUGUCCUGAUAUGUCCUCCUGGUCCUACCAGACACACCUGGUGGUAUCUUGGGCACUGGUUUUGAAGCUUUUUAUAUAGGAUAUGGCACGGUCUCAAAACACUGCUGUACAGUAGCAAGCCAUGCUACAGACCCCUUCCCUCCACAACAAAGUCCCUGUCUGACUCCACCCCCAGCUCAGAUAUUACUGCGUGGCAGACAUUUCCCAAGCAGUCAGACAUUAAUGUAACCCACAGCGAGCUGUUGUAUGUGCACAAGCUGCUGAUACAGGGAGUGAGGGAUUUCGUAAGGCCCGAGGAAUAAGAGCAGUGAUUAAACACAAUUCUCCUUAGUGCACCUAAGCAUAAUAGUCUCUUGAUGUUGGCAUCUCCUUUUGAAAUGCUAAUGGCCUUCUUCUGGUUAGCUCUUUAGGAUCAGCGAGUAAAGAGGCAUUAGGAAAUAAAAGUACCAUUCGUGUUGAUAUGAAAGAGUUGUUCUACCCUACAAUGCAACUGCAAAUGGCACAAAGGAGUUUUAUGUUUGUUGUCUCCCUGCAGCCUCCAGAGAACAUACAUUUUGUUUACGAGGCAAGCCAUUUACGAAUGCCAAACCCUGCAAAUUCUAGCUGGAAGGAUACCAGCAAAUAUCUCCACUGCAGAGUUUACCCACUGCCCAUCAGCUCUGCCCAUGCUGCACACACGCCCUCCGCUCAUGCUCUCAUAGCCAUGCCCACGCUGUGUGCUGGGACUUGGCAGUGCGUACCCCAGAUAGCCCCAGUGCUAUUUUAGGAACUGCUUUGCUGUGUGUUAUUAGCAAGCCUGCCUCUAUUUCCUGAUCUCCCCGGUGUUCCUGGUUUAUUAAUGCAGUACAUUAAGGCAUUUCUGAU